RNAcentral lists this ribosomal RNA (117 nucleotides) under Ruminiclostridium sp. The record is from RNAcentral. Lineage: Bacteria; Bacillati; Bacillota; Clostridia; Eubacteriales; Oscillospiraceae.
GUCGGUGUCUAUUGCGGUGAGGGUCCACCUGUUCCCAUUCCGAACACAGUAGUUAAGCUCACCCGCGUCGAAAAUACUUAGGUGGUAACGCCUUGGGAAGAUAGAUCGUCGCCGACA